UGGGGAAUAUUGCACAAUGGGCGAAAGCCUGAUGCAGCAACGCCGCGUGAGCGAUGAAGGUCUUCGGAUUGUAAAGCUCUGUCUUUUGGGACGAUAAUGACAGUACCAAAGGAGGAAGCCACGGCUAACUACGUGCCAGCAGCUGCGGUAAUACGUAGGUGGCGAGCGUUGUCCGGAUUUACUGGGCGUAAAGGGUGCGUAGGCGGAUGUUUAAGUGAGAUGUGAAAUACCCGGGCUUAACUUGGGUGCU
RNAcentral lists this ribosomal RNA (250 nucleotides) under uncultured bacterium. RNAcentral's name for it is "partial 16S ribosomal RNA". It matches the Rfam family "Bacterial small subunit ribosomal RNA", at positions 355 to 622 of the family's 1533-position model. The record is from RNAcentral.